GCUCAGCCGUCCGUGCAUAUCUCUGCACGGAGCCUGCAGCGCACGGGGAAUAAACCCCCACACCUACACCCGCUGCGCCCCUGCGGCCUCGCCUCUCCUUCCUCACCUCUGGCCGCGGAGCUCUUUCCAGACCACCCGUGUCCCCCCGCCAGCCAGGCCCCCCGGCCCUCCUCCCGUCACUCCCGUCACCCUCCACCGGAAAACACUUGUGCACUUGGCGCUGUGCACACAGUGUGCCGUGAGCUCUGGGAAAGUGGCCUCCUGUCGUCGGGCGCUGACCACACUCACCCCAGCUCUUGCCACCAAGAGCUGUCCGACGGCGGAUGGGGCCCAGGGGAGAGAGAGGCACACCUGCAAAGCAGAAGGGGCCCCACGGCGCCAGUGACCCAGGGACCAAAUUCCUGUAGCCAGAAAAACACUCCUACUCCCCAACCAGGACCUUCACUCCUGAGAUGGGUGAGUACCCCCCACUUCCCCCACAGCUGUGGGGCAGUGGCUCGGGGGCCUCAGUGCACAGGGGACAGCCGAUUCCCACCCCCCCCCCCCGACACGCAGCAUCUGGGGCAUGGGGGCAGGGCAACAGGCCCCCGCUCCCCCAAAGCCAGCCAAGUACCAGGCUUCAGCCUGUCAGCCUGGGGGCCGGGCACCCGCCAAGGGCACGGCCGGGUCACCCACAGACACAGCCGGACCCAGGAUCGGCCCUCCCCGCACCUUGCCAACACUUUCUUUAAAGGGUCCCAGCUGUUUAGGAAGUGUUCACGUCAGGGGAAGUCAGAGAGAAGGGGCCGAACCAGUUGGAAGGUUCCGGCCUCCGUGCCGUCCGGGCUGUCAGUACGCAGGAGAGUGGUUCCAAGCCGGCGGCCAGGGAGCCCCCCCAGGAGGGCCUGCCGCCCUCUUUGUAGAACGAGGCCUUCCAAGUGACAUUUCCUCCACGGUUUUAAGCAAAUCCCUUGUCCUAAUAUUUGUGCUAAGUUGACUUUUAUGAUUUUUUAAGCUCCUAGGCUGGCUCGGAAAAAAUCUUUGAAAAGAAGGCCAGCUUAACGGAAAGGUCAGGGGUUUAAAAACCAAACAGUGAGCUUAAGCAGCUGGGCCAGGGCGCACCUCCACCAGCAACGUCCUGAGCAGCUUUGGCUCCUGGCCGGCAAAGGGACAGGCCCCCGCGGUCACUGGCUGGUCCCUUCCCCUUGGGAGGCUCCUGGGAGAGGCGGCCACACGGCACGGGCCACGGUAGGGCCCCGUGUUACCUGUGUGCCGAGAUGGCAGCGAGCCCCUGGCACGGCGGCAUGGUCUGGUGGGAUCACCUCCUUUUGUGCCCCAACCCCCAGACCCGUUUACUUCGUUGGUGGGCUUGCCUUCCAGAGAAUAAGCUCAGCUAACCCGGAGGGGUUUUCCUGCAACCUUUGUUGGCCUGGGCCCCUCACACCCUCCGAAGCCACCGCACCACCCUCAGCAACUCCCACCACGCAGGCGUUUGCUGAGUGUCCACGGCGGGCCAGCGCAGCCCGCGUGCGUCACAGCCCCCGCCCCAGACGCCCCAGGGAGCAUCUGUGCCACCGCCAUUCCCAUGUUACAGAUGACAAAUUGAGGCACAGAGAAGCUAAAGCCGAUGCCAGGCACCACGUGGCAGGGCCACGAUUAAGCCUCCUGUGCUGGCUUCCCGCGAAGAGACGCUUGUGGUGUCUUUGAACGCUACAUUUUGAAGCGCGUUUUUUUCUGUGCUGGACCCCGGACGAGACCAUCAGCUUCCGCGGACCAGGCCGGCCAGUUCACAGAGGAACAAACACAGACCCCAUGCGCUCGCCGUGGGCAGGUGUGGGCCAGGGUCUGGGGUCUGGGCGAGCUUCUUAGGUCUCGCUCCCUUCCUUCAACCCCCUAGGCCUAGGGAGGGUUCCUAUUAGCACAGCGGGGUCCACACACGGAC
This 1921-nucleotide long non-coding RNA is filed under the name Felis catus (domestic cat). RNAcentral's name for it is "lncRNA (ENSFCAG00000042669.2)". Lineage: Eukaryota; Metazoa; Chordata; Mammalia; Carnivora; Felidae. The record is from RNAcentral.